Molecule: ribosomal RNA, 377 nt
Filed under: uncultured bacterium
Lineage: Bacteria
Description: bacterial SSU rRNA
Rfam family: Bacterial small subunit ribosomal RNA
Source: RNAcentral
AUACGUAGGUGGCGAGCGUUGUCCGGAAUUACUGGGCGUAAAGGGCGUGUAGGCGGUUUUUUAAGUCAGGCGUGAAAACCCGAGGCUUAACCACGGGAUUGCGUUUGAGACUGGAAGACUUGAGGAUCGGAGAGGGCAGUGGAAUUCCCAGUGUAGCGGUGAAAUGCGUAGAUAUUGGGAGGAACACCAGUGGCGAAGGCGGCUGCCUGGACGACACCUGACGCUGAGGCGCGAAAGCUAGGGGAGCAAACGGGAUUAGAUACCCCGGUAGUCCUAGCCGUAAACGAUGGGUACUAGGUGUGGGAGGUAUCGACCCCUUCCGUGCCGGAGUAAACACAAUAAGUACCCCGCCUGGGGAGUACGGCCGCAAGGUUGAA